UGACAAACGUCCAAUAUCUCGAGGUAUUGGUCCUUGUAGAUUGUUCACUGCAAGGGAAAGACCUCGAAGAGUCGAAAAAUUUCCUAUCCAAGAUGGGAUACCUCCUGUGAGAUUGUUGUUUCCAAGGCCUAAAUAAUUCAACUUAGUAAGUGAACUGAACUGAUCAGGUAAUACUUUACCAACCAGACUGUUAUAUUCUAGAGCAAGUGAUCUAAGUUCUUUACAGCUGCUAAGAUUAGCAGGAAUGGUUCCAGUA
This 256-nucleotide unclassified non-coding RNA is filed under the name Hevea brasiliensis (rubber tree). The record is from RNAcentral. Lineage: Eukaryota; Viridiplantae; Streptophyta; Magnoliopsida; Malpighiales; Euphorbiaceae.